Gregarina niphandrodes is the source of this 71-nucleotide transfer RNA. It matches the Rfam family "tRNA". Rfam says of the family: Transfer RNA (tRNA) molecules are approximately 80 nucleotides in length. Their secondary structure includes four short double-helical elements and three loops (D, anti-codon, and T loops). Further hydrogen bonds mediate the characteristic L-shaped molecular structure. tRNAs have two regions of fundamental functional importance: the anti-codon, which is responsible for specific mRNA codon recognition, and the 3' end, to which the tRNAs corresponding amino acid is attached (by aminoacyl-tRNA synthetases). tRNAs cope with the degeneracy of the genetic code in two manners: having more than one tRNA (with a specific anti-codon) for a particular amino acid; and 'wobble' base-pairing, i.e. permitting non-standard base-pairing at the 3rd anti-codon position. NCBI's taxonomy places the organism in Eukaryota, Apicomplexa, Conoidasida, Eugregarinorida, Gregarinidae. The record is from Rfam.
GCGUUUGUGGUCUAGUGGUAGUGUGCCUCGUUUCAAUAGAGGCGACCCGGGUUCAAUUCCCGGCAGACCCC